This 832-nucleotide long non-coding RNA is filed under the name Gadus morhua (Atlantic cod). RNAcentral's name for it is "lncRNA (ENSGMOG00000024593.1)". Lineage: Eukaryota; Metazoa; Chordata; Actinopteri; Gadiformes; Gadidae. The record is from RNAcentral.
AUGACAACAGAUGAGUCACCAGUUCUUUUUUUUCUUUUCUCAUCUCUCUUUCAGGUUAGCGCAGAGUUUCAGAGGAUCACCCCACUGAAUCUUGAGCCAAAAUUCAUGGCAAUGUUGGACUUCUAUACACCUAAACUGCUGUCCUUGUUUCAAACGAAGAAAGGUGCUGCAGGAGAGAGACAUCGGGCACAAAUGUGUGUUCUACUUAAGAGUGGAAUCCCCAUUCAACAGACCGUGAGGUUGUCAUCCCAUGUCUCAUCAAUCAUUUGGGAGAAGAUGCCAGUGCCUUGUUCAAGGACUUUGAGGAUGCUGCUGAUGGAUCUGCCAGUGUUCAAGAGGAGUUGGCAGAAGAGGUCAUGAAGAUUUACCUGCUGCGGAAACAAGAUGGGUCAUUGGAUGUUGGGAUUAUCAUUGAGGGCAACACUGUCCUCAGCAGUCUUGGAGAUGUUAGCAGGGCCUGCUGCUAUCUCUUGGGACUGAUGUACGUGUUAGAUCUGCAAUACCCCAAGAACCUCAAACAUAGUUUUGAGGUAUUCCAGAAAGUACUGCUGGAGCUGGAUUCUGGAAACCUUUCCAACAAGGUCCAGAGACUAAAGAAUUACCUCUGUAUGUAGCGACUGGCUACUGUUCAGCAAGAUGCUCUCUUAGUGAGGGAUUUUUUCAUUGGCAAGUCUGAAGUUUAGCUGAUGUACUGUUGUCUUAAUGUUUACAUAAGACUUAAGGUUUCCAUUCAUAGUGAAAUUGCAUGUUGGACUGUUCUUGUUUUCUGAUGUGGAACUUUAAUGUGAAAUAUCAACCUGGAAAUCUCAACUGGCAUUACAACUCAUGGUAU